RNAcentral lists this transfer RNA (64 nucleotides) under Marphysa tamurai. RNAcentral describes it as "tRNA-Lys". The record is from RNAcentral. Lineage: Eukaryota; Metazoa; Annelida; Polychaeta; Eunicida; Eunicidae.
CAUGAGAGAGCUUGUAGCAUCGAGCUUUUAACUCGAAGAAAAUAACUUUAACUAUUUCUCAUGA